CUUUAAGGACUAAUCCUCACAGGCUUUUGACCUGAACGUGAGCAGAUGGAUUUACUUCAGCUGUUUUCUGCCUUUCUGAUUGUUUUUCCUGAAGAAGUUUAAAGACCAGGAAACAGAGCAUUUGAGCUUUAACAAGCUGAUGGAUAUGGAAUAACUGACUUGAAGUACAGGACCUUCUAGAUUUGUAAAGCAGUAAAGAGACCAGUCUCUGGAGCGAGUUGCCUGGAUCUGAAUUCGUCCUCCUGUAGUUACUACGAACUGGACAACCUCAGACAAGCUACCUAACUUCUGUAUCCCUCCAUCUUCUCAUCUCUAAAGUGGAGAUAAAAACGGUACCUCCCUCA
Molecule: long non-coding RNA, 344 nt
Organism: Lagenorhynchus albirostris (white-beaked dolphin)
Lineage: Eukaryota; Metazoa; Chordata; Mammalia; Artiodactyla; Delphinidae
Exons: 3
Source: RefSeq, a predicted model, not a curated record